Molecule: long non-coding RNA, 852 nt
Filed under: Anas platyrhynchos platyrhynchos (common mallard)
Lineage: Eukaryota; Metazoa; Chordata; Aves; Anseriformes; Anatidae
Description: lncRNA (ENSAPLG00000030788.1)
Source: RNAcentral
AUGCAGUGCUUCUCCUGGACCAUCUCUCUGGCUUUCCAAAGUUUCUUUCCUCAGAAACAGAGCCCUGACCUGCAUAUUGACACUACCCUGGUGCUGUGCCAGCUCUGGUUCAGGGAUGAAGAUGCUGAUAAGCACUUCUUUUUUCUUGUGUGCCUGACGGACACCUGCAAUACUAUGCCUGGGAUUUUAAGUAGAAGACUCCUUAUGCAGUAUUAGAACUGUUAUUCUAUCAGAUUACAAAGCAUAGCUAUACAACAAGCCUCAGAGAAUAUUUUCAAUCAUUGAUCAAAAACCAGAAGGAAACAGUUUCAGUUGAAAAUACCAUCUAGCUGAAAACACACAUCUCAUUUUAUGACUGUGGAUAAAGGUCUUUGCUGAAGUUUAUGUAAUUUAUGCACUGAUUCUUACAAGUGUAAUUCCAUAUGCUGUGCUAUAUAAAAUCAUCACAAGCUACCCUUCUAUAGUAGACAGCGGAAACUAUUAGAAUUAAAUGUUCUGUGAAUGGAGUCCAGUGUUGGAAGCCAGUUCAAAGAAACUUUAUCUAAGCAAACUGGAAUGGGAGAUUUCCUUGUAGUUUUACAGUAAUUAUUAGGCCUAUGCUAAACUGCUCAGGAAAAUCUGUAGUACCUUUGAAAUAAGGUAAUGCAAAUAUCAGUCUCCUUUACUUGGAAAAGUUUAGUAGUAUGAAAAUAUUUAUUUAUUUAUCUAUUAAGUUAUUGCAUGCUGAACCUUUCUCUAAAACCUCUUUGCAUUUAAUUACUCUUUUUCCUGCAGGCAGACUUUGAAUAUUCCUAAACUUAAAUACUUUGGUUAGCCUACUAACAACAAUAAAAAAAGUCUAUUAACUAUCCA